This 205-nucleotide long non-coding RNA is filed under the name Salvia miltiorrhiza (redroot sage). Its description in RNAcentral is "long non-coding RNA (SMIL_LNC010881)". Lineage: Eukaryota; Viridiplantae; Streptophyta; Magnoliopsida; Lamiales; Lamiaceae. The record is from RNAcentral.
UUUUGAAUACCUAUACUUGACCACAUAUACCCUGUUUCAACUUCAAGAAAUAAACUGUUUCGCCUCGGAACUCCCCUGGGUUUGAGACUCAUACCAUUGGAAACCUCUUGAAGUCUAGUUUCUUUUAAAAAAAAGUAGGUUGCAAAACUCUAAGUGGUUCAAGAGAUAUGACCAUUCUCCCACAGCCUACCAUAUUCGACAGUUU